This 28-nucleotide non-coding RNA is filed under the name Moraxellaceae bacterium 17A. The record is from RNAcentral. Lineage: Bacteria; Pseudomonadati; Pseudomonadota; Gammaproteobacteria; Moraxellales; Moraxellaceae.
CUUCACCGCCACAUAGGCGGCUUAAAAA